CUGCUGCCUUCCGUAGGAGUUUGGGCCGUGUCUCAGUCCCAAUGUGGCCGUCCACCCUCUCAGGCCGGCUACUGAUCGUCGGCUUGGUGGGCCGUUACCCCGCCAACUACCUAAUCAGACGCGGGUCCAUCUUACACCACCGGAGUUUUCCGCACCAGGCCAUGCGGCCCUGUGCGCAUAUGCGGUAUUAGCAGCCGUUUCCAGCUGUUGUCCCCCUGUGUAAGGCAGGUUGCCCACGCGUUACUCACCCGUCCGCCACU
This 260-nucleotide ribosomal RNA is filed under the name uncultured bacterium. Its description in RNAcentral is "partial 16S ribosomal RNA". The record is from RNAcentral.